Molecule: ribosomal RNA, 253 nt
Filed under: uncultured bacterium
Lineage: Bacteria
Description: partial 16S ribosomal RNA
Rfam family: Bacterial small subunit ribosomal RNA
Source: RNAcentral
GACAGAGGGUGCAAACGUUGUUCGGAAUUACUGGGCGUAAAGCGCGUGUAGGCUGCUUGGCAAGUCGGAUGUGAAAGCCCUGGGCUCAACCCAGGAAGUGCAUUCGAAACUUCCGAGCUCGAGUUCUGGAGAGGAUAGCGGAAUUCCCGGUGUAGAGGUGAAAUUCGUAGAUAUCGGGAGGAACACCGGUGGCGAAGGCGGCGACCUGGGUCGAUACUGACGCUGAUGCGCGAAAGCGUGGGUAGCAAACAGG